This 534-nucleotide ribosomal RNA is filed under the name Sphedanolestes sp. 00004116. Its description in RNAcentral is "partial 16S ribosomal RNA". It matches the Rfam family "Bacterial large subunit ribosomal RNA", at positions 1807 to 2611 of the family's 2925-position model. The record is from RNAcentral. Lineage: Eukaryota; Metazoa; Arthropoda; Insecta; Hemiptera; Reduviidae.
UCAAAAACAUGUCCUUUUGUUUAAAAAUAUAAGGUCUAACCUGCCCAAUGAAUUUAGUUGAAUGGCCGCGGUAUUUUAACUGUGCUAAGGUAGCAUAAUCAUUUGUCUUUUAAUUAAAGGCUAGAAUGAAUGGUUGGACGAGGUAUAAACUUUCUUUAACUUAAUCUUUGAAUUUAAUUUUUUAGUUAAAAAGCUAAAAUAUUUUUGGGGGACGAGAAGACCCUAUAGAUCUUUAUAUGUAUGUGAAUUAUAUAUUAUAGUGAAUAAUAAUAUUUUGAUUAAUUUAUUUAUUUGGUUGGGGCGACUGUAGAAUUAUAAUAACUUCUAUUUUUAUUUUUCAUUAAUUAUUGUAUUGUUGAUCCAUUAGUAAUGAUUACAAGAUUAAGUUACCUUAGGGAUAACAGCGUAAUUUCUUUGGAGAGUUCUUAUCGAUAAAGGAGUUUGCGACCUCGAUGUUGGAUUAAAAUAAGUGGUAGGUGUAGAAGUUUACUAACUAGGUCUGUUCGACCUUUAAUUUUUUACAUGAUCUGAGUU